CCAGGGCCGGCGUGAGCUCCUAUGGGACCCCCGUGUCGCUUGGGGGGCACCCAGGACCGGCGUGAGCUCUUGUGGGACCCCCGUGUCGCUUGGGGGGCACCCAAGACCGGCCUGAGCUCCCACGGGACCCCUGUGUCGCUUAGGGGGCACCCAGGACCGGCGUGAGCACGUAUGGGACCCCCGUGUCGCUUAGGGGGUGCCCAAUGCCAACGGGAGCUCUUACGGGACCCCCGUGUCGCUUGAGGAGCACCUAAAGCUGGACGGAGCUCCUAUGGGACCCACAUAUCACUUGGGGGGCACCCAAAGCCGGCAUGAGCUCCUGUGGGACCCUCAUGUUGUUUGGGGGGCACCUAAAGCUGGACUGAGCUCCUAUGGGACCCCUAUGUCGUUUGGGGGGCACCUAAAACCGAUGUGACCUCCUGUGGGUCCACCGUGUUGUGUGGGGGACACCCAGGACCAUCAUGAGCUCCUAUGGGACCCCCAGAUCUUCUCAAGGGGCACCCAGGACUGGCGUGAACUCUUGUGGGACUCCCACGUCGCUUGGGGGGCGCCCAGGACCGGCGUGAGCUCUUGUGGGACCCCCAUGUCACUUGGGGGGGUGCCCCGAACCGGCGUGAGCUCCUGUGGGACCUAGGGGUGGCCCGAUGCCACCGUGAGCUCCUGUGGGACCUCCACAUCUUUUCGGGGGCACCCAAUGCCGACACGAGCACGUAUGGGACCCCCGUGUCACUUGGGGGGCUCCCAACGCCAGCGGGAGCUCCUGUGGGACCCCCGAACCUCCUUGGGGGCACCCCAGACCGGCGUGAGUUCUUAUGGGACCUCCGUGUCGCUUAGGGGGCACCCAAGACCAGCGUGAGCUCCUAUGGGAACCCCAGAUCUUCUCAGGAGGCCCCCAGUGCCAGCAUGAGCAUUUAUGGGACCUCCGCGUCACUUAGGGGGCACCCAAGCCCGGCGUGAGCUCCUAGGGGCCCCCAGAUCGGGGCUGGGGGCCCCCAGUGCCGACACGAGCACCUAUGGGGCUCCUGUGUCACUUAGGGGGCACCCAAGCGCCUGUGGGACCCCCACAUUUACAUCGGGGGCGACCGACGCCAGCACCGACUCGGGGACCUGUGGGAUCCCUCGACGUCUCCCUCGGGGGACACCAGGCCCCUGCUCAGGGUCCUCCAAGACCUCCCGCGUCUCCCCUGGGGUCACCUGCCACCGGCUCAAGGACUUGUGGGACCCGCUGUGUCCCCCCCUGACACCCCGUGCCACCUCAGAGGCCUUUGGGACCCACAGCGUCUUCUUUGGGGGCACCCAGCACCAGUUCAAGCGCCUCCAAGACCCCCAACGUCCUUCUGGGAUGCCCAGCUGCGCCCCGUGGACCUCUGGGACCCUCGUGUCCCCCCAAGGGCAUCUGGCACUGACUCGGGGACCUCUGCGACCCCCAGCGACCUCCCCCCGGGGGCACCCAAGACCAAAGAUCUGCAGGACCCCCCAACAUCUCUUUUGGGGGCAACUGCCACCAAACCAAGGACCUCUGGAACCCCCAUGUUCCCCUUGGGGACACCCAGCUGCACCCCAUGGACCUCUGGGACCCCCAUGUCCCCAUUGGGGACACCCAGCACCCACUUAGGGACCUCUAGGUCCCCCCAACAUCUGCUUUGGGGGCACCCACCACCAAAUCAAGGAGCUCCGGGACCCCCGCGUCCUUCUGAGGACACCUGGCACCAGCGCAGGGACCUCUGGGAGCCUCCAGCAUCUUCUUUGGGGGCGCUUGCCACCAAACCAAGGAGCUCUGGGACCCCCACAUCCCCCCUUGGGGACACCCAGCUGCACCCCAUGGACCUCCGGGACCCCCAUGUUCCCCUGGGAGCAUCCGGCACCAACUCGGGGACCGCCAGGACUCCCCCCCCAACAUCUGCUUUGGGGGGCACCUGCCCGCCGAAUCAAGGUCCUCCAGCACCCCAACGCCCCCCCCCCGCGGNNNNNNNNNNNNNNNNNNNNNNGUUUCCCCACAUCCUCCUGGGGGCACCCGGCACCGAAUCAAGGACCUCUGGGACCCUCCCAAGUCCCUCUAUGGGGGCAGCUGCCAGCAAAUCAAGGACUUCUGGGACCCCCACGUCCUACCUGGGGGCACCUGGCACCCGCUUAGGGACCUCUGGGAGCCCUAUGUCUCCUUGAGGACACCCAGCAGCACCCCAUGGACCUUUGGGAUCCCCAAAGUCCCCCCGGGGGCACCCACCACCACCAAAUCGAGGACCUCUGGGACCCCCACAUCCUACCUGGGGGCACCUGGCACCUACUUAAGAGAUCUCUGGGACCCCCCCCAACAUCCCCUCGUGGGCACCCACCACCAAAUUAAGGACCUCGGGGUCCCCCACGUCCUACCAGGCUGCACCCACUGCCAAAUCGAGGAGCUCCAGGACCCCCACGUCCUACCCAGGGGCACCCACCACCAAAUCAAGGACUUCUGGGACCCCCGCAUCCUACCCGGGGGCACCCACCACCAAAUCGAGGACCUCUAGGACCCCUGUGUCUCCUUGGGGAGACCCAUCAGCACCCCUUGGAGCUCUGGGUCCCCCACGUCCUACCUGGGGGCACCCGCUACCAAGUCAAGGACCUUUGGGACCCCU
RNAcentral lists this long non-coding RNA (2615 nucleotides) under Struthio camelus australis. Its description in RNAcentral is "lncRNA (ENSSCUG00000013968.1)". Lineage: Eukaryota; Metazoa; Chordata; Aves; Struthioniformes; Struthionidae. The record is from RNAcentral.